UAUCUGGUUGAUCCUGCCAGUAGUCAUAUGCUUGUCUCAAAGAUUAAGCCAUGCAUGUCUAAGUAUAAGCAAUUUAUACAGUGAAACUGCGAAUGGCUCAUUAAAUCAGUUAUCGUUUAUUUGAUAGUUCCWUUACUACAUGGAAUACCUGCUGKYWMUUMUASAGCUAAUACAUGCUUAAAAUCCCKACUGUUAUGGAAGGGWUGUAUUUAUUAGWUAAAAAAKCAAUGUCUUCGGACUCUUUGAUGAUUCAUAAUAACUUUUCGAAUCGCAUGGCCUUGUGCUKGCGAUGGUUCAUUCAAAUUUCUGMCCUAUCAAYUUUCGAUGGUAGGAUAGUGGCCUACCAYGGUUUCAACGGGUAACGGGGAAUAAGGGUUCGAUUCCGGAGAGGGAGCCUGAGAAACGGCYACCACAUMCAAGGAAGGCAGCAGGCGCGCAAAUKACCCAAUCCYRAYWCRGGGAGGKAGUGACAAUAAAUAACGAUACAGSGCCCUUUCGGGUCUUGUAAUUGGAAUGAGUACAAUGUAAAUACCUUAACGAGGAACAAUUGGAGGGCAAGUCUGGUGCCAGCAGCCGCGGUAAUUCCAGCUCCAAGAGCGUAUAUUAAAGUUGUUGCAGUUAAAAAGCUCGUAGUUGUACUUUGGGUUUGGUUGACCGGUCCGAUUUUUUUCGUGUACUGGCUCGACUGAAUCUUUCCUUCUGGCUAACCUUCAGUGUUUACUCUGUAGGCGAACCAGGACUUUUACAUUGAAAAAAUUAGAGUGUUCAUAGCAGGCGAUAGCUCGAAUAUAUUAGCAUGGAAUAAUAGAAUAAAACGUUUGGUUCUAUUUUGUUGGUUUCUAGGACCAUCGUAAUGAGUAAUAGGGACGGUCGGGGGCAUCAGCAGUCAAGGGUCAGAGGGGAAAUUCUUGGAGUUAUUGAAGACUAACUACUGCGAAAGCAGUUGCCAAGGACGUUUUGAUUAAUCAAGAACGAAAGUUAGGGGAGCGAAGA
Molecule: non-coding RNA, 993 nt
Filed under: Hanseniaspora osmophila
Lineage: Eukaryota; Fungi; Ascomycota; Saccharomycetes; Saccharomycodales; Saccharomycodaceae
Description: Eukaryotic small subunit ribosomal RNA
Rfam family: Eukaryotic small subunit ribosomal RNA
Source: Rfam by way of RNAcentral